GGUGCUGCAUGGCUGUCGUCAGCUCGGUGUCGUGAGAUGUUGGGUUAAGUCCCGCAACCGAGCGCAACCCCUAUCUCUAGUUGCCAGCGAUUCGGUCGGGGACUCUAGAGAUACGUGCCCCGGUUAACGGGAGGAAGGUGGGGAUGACGUCAAGUCCUCAUGGCCCUUAUGCCCAGGGCUACACACGUGCUACAAUGGGCGGUACAAAGGGUAGCGAUGCCGCGAGGUGAAGCCAAAUCCCAAAAAGCCGUCCACAGUUCGGAUUGGAGUCUGCAACUCGACUCCAUGAAGCCGGAAUCGCUAGUAAUCGCGGAUCAGCACGCCGCGGUGAAUACGUUCCCGGGCCUU
Molecule: ribosomal RNA, 348 nt
Filed under: uncultured Desulfobacterium sp.
Lineage: Bacteria; Pseudomonadati; Thermodesulfobacteriota; Desulfobacteria; Desulfobacterales; Desulfobacteriaceae
Description: bacterial SSU rRNA
Rfam family: Bacterial small subunit ribosomal RNA
Source: RNAcentral